This is an RNA transcript of Pan troglodytes (chimpanzee), 10942 nucleotides long. It is a transcript of the gene named REV3 like, DNA directed polymerase zeta catalytic subunit, with no coding region annotated. Lineage: Eukaryota; Metazoa; Chordata; Mammalia; Primates; Hominidae. The transcript is spliced from 34 exons. The record is from RefSeq and is a predicted model, not a curated record.
UCCUGAGGAGGCGGCGGCAGCAGCGCCUAUACCGCCCCGCCCGCCGCUCCUCGAGGUGCCUCUGUGUGAGGGGAGGGGGCCGUGCCGAGAAGGGGAGGGGGCGCCGCCGCCGCUGCGGAGGGAGCCGCCGCCGCUGCUGCUGCCGCUGCCGGGUCGCCAGUGAAGGGAGGCAGUGGCGGCGGCGGCGAACAUGUUUUCAGUAAGGAUAGUGACUGCAGACUACUACAUGGCCAGCCCGCUGCAGGGGCUGGAUACCUGCCAAUCCCCCCUCACCCAGGCCCCUGUCAAGAAGGUGCCGGUGGUGCGAGUCUUCGGAGCGACCCCGGCAGGUCAGAAGACAUGUCUUCAUCUACAUGGCAUCUUUCCUUACCUCUAUGUGCCAUACGAUGGUUAUGGACAGCAGCCAGAAAGCUAUCUUUCUCAGAUGGCAUUCAGUAUCGACAGAGCACUUAAUGUGGCUUUAGGCAAUCCAUCUUCCACUGCUCAGCAUGUGUUCAAAGUGUCAUUAGUAUCAGGAAUGCCUUUUUAUGGUUAUCAUGAGAAGGAAAGACACUUUAUGAAGAUCUAUCUUUACAAUCCUGCAAUGGUGAAAAGGAUAUGUGAACUUUUGCAAAGCGGAGCCAUAAUGAAUAAAUUUUACCAGCCUCAUGAAGCGCAUAUUCCCUACCUCCUACAGCUCUUCAUUGACUACAAUCUUUAUGGCAUGAAUUUAAUAAAUCUGGCUGCUGUCAAGUUCCGAAAAGCAAGAAGGAAAAGUAAUACAUUGCAUGCAACUGGAUCCUGCAAGAAUCAUUUAUCAGGAAAUUCUCUUGCUGAUACUUUAUUUCUGUGGGAACAAGAUGAAAUACCAAGCUCUUUAAUAUUGGAAGGUGUUGAACCACAGAGUACAUGUGAAUUAGAAGUGGAUGCUGUAGCUGCUGAUAUCUUAAAUCGUCUGGACAUUGAAGCUCAAAUUGGUGGAAACCCUGGUCUACAGGCCAUAUGGGAAGAUGAAAAGCAACGGCGAAGAAACAGAAAUGAAACUUCUCAAAUGAGCCAACCUGAGUCACAAGAUCACAGGUUUGUGCCAGCAACAGAAAGUGAAAAAAAAUUUCAGAAGAGACUUCAGGAAAUUCUCAAACAGAAUGAUUUCUCUGUCAGAACAUUAUCAGGAUCUGUGGACUACAACGAUGGAUCCCAGGAGUUCUCUGCUGAGUUAACAUUGCACUCUGAGGUUCUGUCUCCUGAAAUGCUUCAGUGUACACCAGCCAAUAUGGUAGAAGUUCACAAAGACAAAGAGUCAAGCAAAGGUCACACUAGACACAAAGUGGAAGAAGCUCUUAUUAAUGAAGAAGCAAUUUUGAACCUUAUGGAAAAUAGUCAGACUUUUCAGCCUUUGACCCAAAGACUGAGUGAGUCACCUGUUUUCAUGGACAGUAGUCCUGAUGAGGCUCUGGUACAUCUUCUUGCUGGUUUGGAAAGUGAUGGAUAUCGGGGGGAAAGAAAUAGGAUGCCAUCACCAUGUCGCUCCUUUGGAAAUAAUAAAUAUCCACAAAAUAGUGAUGAUGAAGAAAAUGAACCACAGAUUGAAAAAGAGGAAAUGGAGCUUAGUUUGGUGAUGUCCCAGAGAUGGGACAGCAAUAUUGAAGAACAUUGUGCCAAAAAGAGAUCACUGUGCAGAAAUACCCACAGAAGUUCAACUGAAGAUGAUGACUCAUCUUCAGGAGAAGAAAUGGAAUGGAGUGAUAACAGUUUGCUUCUAGCCAGUCUUUCUAUACCUCAGUUAGAUGGAACUGCAGAUGAAAAUAGUGACAAUCCAUUGAACAAUGAAAAUUCUAGAACCCACUCUUCUGUAAUUGCAACAAGCAAGCUAUCAGUUAAACCCUCCAUCUUUCACAAAGAUGCUGCUACAUUAGAACCCUCAUCUUCUGCUAAGAUUACCUUUCAGUGUAAACACACAAGUGCCCUUUCUUCCCAUGUUUUGAACAAGGAAGAUUUAAUUGAAGACCUUUCACAGACAAACAAAAAUACAGAAAAAGGUCUAGAUAAUUCAGUCACUUCUUUUACAAACGAAAGCACUUAUUCUAUGAAAUACCCUGGAUCUUUAAGCAGUACUGUUCAUUCAGAAAAUUCUCAUAAAGAGAAUAGUAAGAAAGAGAUCCUCCCAGUAUCUUCCUGUGAAAGUAGUAUUUUUGAUUAUGAAGAAGAUAUUCCAUCUGUUACAAGACAAGUACCAAGUAGAAAAUAUACAAACAUUAGAAAAAUCGAAAAGGAUUCCCCUUUUAUACAUAUGCACCGUCACCCUAACGAGAAUACAUUGGGCAAAAAUUCUUUCAACUUUUCUGACUUAAAUCAUUCAAAAAAUAAAGUAUCCUCUGAAGGAAAUGAAAAAGGAAACAGCACAGCUCUGAGUAGUUUAUUCCCUUCAUCAUUUACUGAAAAUUGUGAAUUAUUGUCAUGCUCAGGGGAGAAUAGAACUAUGGUGCAUUCUCUUAAUAGCACUGCUGAUGAAAGUGGACUAAAUAAACUUAAAAUUAGGUAUGAAGAAUUUCAAGAACAUAAAACAGAAAAGCCAAGCCUCAGCCAGCAAGCAGCACACUAUAUGUUUUUUCCCAGUGUUGUUCUUUCUAACUGUCUUACUAGACCACAGAAACUAUCUCCUGUCACAUAUAAAUUACAACCUGGCAAUAAACCAUCCCGGUUAAAAUUGAAUAAAAGGAAACUUGCAGGUCAUCAGGAGACUUCUACCAAAAGUAGUGAGACUGGAUCCACAAAAGAUAAUUUUAUACAAAAUAAUCCUUGUAAUAGUAAUCCUGAGAAGGAUAAUGCAUUGGCUAGUGAUUUAACUAAAACCACUCAUGGAGCUUUUGAAAAUAAAACACCCACAGAUGGUUUUGUAGACUGUCACUUUGGAGAUGGAACGUUAGAAACUGAGCAGUCCUUUGGACUAUAUGGAAAUAAAUACACACUUAGAGCCAAACGCAAGGUAAAUUAUGAGACUGAAGACAGUGAGUCAAGUUUUGUAACUCACAACUCAAAAAUUAGUCUACCUCAUCCCAUGGAAAUUGGUGAAAGUUUAGAUGGAACUCUCAAAUCCCGAAAACGAAGAAAAAUGUCUAAAAAGCUGCCCCCUGUCAUCAUAAAGUAUAUUAUUAUUAAUAGAUUUAGAGGGAGAAAAAAUAUGCUUGUGAAGCUAGGAAAAAUAGACUCUAAAGAAAAACAAGUAAUAUUAACAGAAGAAAAAAUGGAACUAUAUAAAAAGCUUGCACCUUUGAAGGACUUUUGGCCAAAAGUUCCCGACUCCCCUGCAACCAAAUAUCCCAUUUAUCCACUAACACCAAAGAAAAGUCACAGAAGAAAGUCAAAACAUAAAUCUGCUAAGAAAAAAACUGGUAAACAACAAAGGACAAAUAAUGAAAAUAUUAAAAGAACUUUGUCUUUCAGGAAAAAACGGUCACAUGCUAUUCUUUCUCCUCCCUCACCAUCUUACAAUGCUGAAACCGAAGAUUGUGACUUGAAUUAUAGUGAUGUUAUGUCUAAACUAGGUUUUCUUUCUGAGAGAAGCACAAGUCCCAUAAAUUCUUCUCCACCUCGCUGCUGGUCUCCCACAGAUCCAAGAGCUGAAGAAAUCAUGGCUGCUGCAGAAAAAGAGGCAAUGCUUUUUAAGGGUCCUAAUGUAUAUAAGAAGACUGUUAAUUCUCGUAUAGGAAAAACUAGUCGCGCAAGAGCACAGAUUAAGAAAUCAAAAGCAAAGCUUGCUAAUCCCUCUAUAGUUACUAAGAAAAGGAACAAACGAAAUCAGACAAAUAAACUAGUAGAUGAUGGAAAAAAGAAACCAAGAGCAAAACAAAAAACAAAUGAGAAAGGUACAUCGAGAAAGCAUAUAACACUUAAGGAUGAAAAAAUAAAAUCUCAGUCUGGUGCUGAGGUUAAGUUUGUACUGAAACACCAGAAUGUGUCUGAAUUUGCAAGUAGUUCUGGAGGCUCUCAACUACUUUUUAAACAGAAAGAUAUGCCACUAAUGGGCUCUGCUGUAGAUCAUCCCCUUUCUGCUUCCCUACCCACUGGAAUUAAUGCACAACAGAAGUUAUCUGGCUGCUUUUCUUCUUUCUUAGAAAGCAAGAAGUCUGUAGAUUUGCAGACAUUCCCCAGUUCACGAGAUGAUUUGCAUCCAUCAGUUGUUUGUAAUUCUAUAGGACCUGGAGUCUCAAAAAUUAAUGUUCAAAGGCCUCAUAAUCAAAGUGCUAUGUUUACUCUAAAGGAAUCAACGUUAAUUCAAAAAAAUAUAUUUGACCUUUCCAAUCAUUUAUCUCAGGUAGCACAGAAUACACAGAUAUCUUCUGGUAUGUCCUCAAAGAUAGAAGAUAAUGCAAAUAAUAUACAAAGAAACUAUUUGUCAUCAAUCGGAAAGUUAAGUGAAUAUCGCAAUUCCCUAGAAUCAAAGCUGGACCAAGCAUAUACCCCUAAUUUUUUGCAUUGCAAAGACAGUCAGCAGCAGAUUGUGUGCAUAGCGGAACAGUCAAAGCACAGUGAAACUUGUUCUCCGGAAAAUACAGCUUCAGAGGAAAGCCAAAUGCCUAAUAAUUGCUUUGUAACUUCCUUGAGAAGUCCAAUCAAACAAAUAGCAUGGGAGCAAAAGCAAAGGGGCUUUAUUUUAGAUAUGUCAAAUUUUAAACCUGAAAGAGUAAAACCGAGGUCAUUAUCAGAAGCAAUUUCACAAACCAAAGCACUUUCUCAGUGUAAAAAUCGAAAUGUGUCAACACCUUCAGCAUUUGGUGAAGGACAGUCUGGACUGGCAGUUCUAAAAGAAUUGUUACAAAAAAGACAGCAGAAAGCACAAAAUGCAAAUACUACACAAGACCCAUUAUCCAAUAAACAUCAACCAAAUAAAAAUAUUUCUGGUUCCCUUGAGCAUAACAAAGCAAAUAAACGGACACGAUCGGUAACGUCCCCAAGAAAACCUCGAACUCCCAGAAGUACAAAACAAAAAGAAAAAAUCCCCAAACUUCUCAAAGUAGACUCUUUAAAUUUACAAAACUCUAGCCAGUUGGAUAACUCUGUAUCAGAUGAUAGUCCCAUCUUUUUUUCAGAUCCAGGCUUUGAAAGUUGUUACUCACUUGAAGAUAGUUUAUCUCCUGAACAUAAUUAUAAUUUUGAUAUUAACACAAUAGGUCAGACUGGAUUUUGUAGCUUUUAUUCUGGAAGUCAGUUUGUCCCAGCUGAUCAGAAUUUGCCUCAGAAGUUCCUAAGUGAUGCUGUUCAGGAUCUUUUUCCAGGACAAGCUAUAGAAAAAAAUGAGUUUUUAAGUCAUGACAACCAGAAAUGUGAUGAAGACAAGCAUCAUACCACAGACUCAGCCUCAUGGAUUAGAUCUGGUACUUUAAGUCCUGAAAUUUUUGAGAAGUCAACCAUAGAUAGCAAUGAGAAUCGUCGCCACAACCAGUGGAAAAAUAGCUUUCAUCCUCUAACAACUCGGUCUAACUCAAUAAUGGAUUCUUUCUGUGUUCAGCAGGCAGAAGACUGUCUAAGUGAAAAAUCUAGAUUGAAUAGGAGUUCAGUAAGCAAAGAAGUGUUUCUUAGCCUCCCACAGCCAAACAAUUCAGACUGGAUUCAAGGUCACACCAGAAAAGAAAUGGGACAGCCUCUUGACUCAGCCAAUACCUCUUUUACUGCAAUACUCUCCUCCCCUGAUGGUGAACUUGUAGACGUGGCCUGUGAAGAUUUAGAACUGUAUGUUUCAAGAAACAAUGAUAUGUUGACACCAACUCCUGAUAGUUCACCAAGAUCUACUAGCUCUCCUUCACAAUCUAAAAAUGGCAGCUUCACCCCUCGAACUGCUAACAUUCUGAAACCACUUAUGUCCCCCCCAAGUAGGGAAGAAAUUAUGGCAACUUUGUUGGAUCAUGACCUGUCUGAGACUAUUUACCAGGAACCAUUUUGCAGUAAUCCUUCUGAUGUACCAGAAAAGCCCAGGGAGAUUGGUGGACGGCUCCUCAUGGUAGAAACUCGACUUGCAAAUGAUCUGGCUGAGUUUGAGGGAGACUUUUCUCUGGAAGGACUUCGUCUUUGGAAAACAGCAUUCUCAGCAAUGACUCAGAAUCCAAGGCCAGGGUCACCCCUUCGCAGUGGCCAAGGAGGUGUCAAUAAAGGGUCAAGUAAUAGCCCUAAGAUGGUUGAAGAUAAAAAAAUUGUGAUUAUGCCUUGCAAAUGUGCCCCAAGUCGACAACUGGUUCAAGUGUGGCUUCAAGCCAAAGAAGAAUAUGAACGUUCCAAGAAACUGCCUAAAACCAAGCCAACUGGAGUUGUAAAAUCUGCUGAGAACUUUAGCUCUUCAGUUAACCCAGAUGACAAACCUGUAGUGCCUCCAAAAAUGGAUGUAAGUCCAUGUAUACUCCCCACUACAGCACAUACCAAGGAGGAUGUUGAUAAUUCUCAGAUUGCUUUACAAGCACCAACCACGGGAUGUAGUCAAACUGCAAGUGAAAGUCAGAUGCUGCCACCAGUUGCCUCUGCAAGUGAUCCCGAAAAAGAUGAAGAUGAUGAUGAUAACUAUUACAUUAGUUAUAGCUCCCCUGAUUCUCCAGUAAUUCCCCCUUGGCAACAACCAAUAUCCCCAGAUUCCAAAGCAUUAAAUGGAGAUGAUAGACCCUCAUCACCAGUAGAGGAGCUGCCUUCAUUGGCUGUUGAGAACUUCUUAAAGCCAAUAAAAGAUGGUAUACAAAAAAGCCCCUGCAGUGAGCCUCAAGAGCCUCUAGUGAUAUCUCCAAUUAAUACUAGGGCAAGAACUGGGAAAUGUGAAUCACUUUGCUUUCAUAGUACACCAAUCAUACAGAGAAAACUUCUGGAAAGGCUUCCUGAAGCAACUGGCCUUAGCCCAUUAUCAACAGAACCAAAAACACAGAAGUUGAGUAAUAAGAAAGGAAGUAAUACUGACACUCUUAGAAGAGUACUGUUAACACAAGCAAAGAAUCAAUUUGCAGCAGUAAAUACCCCACAGAAAGAAACUUCUCAGAUUGAUGGACCAUCUUUAAACAAUACUUACGGUUUCAAAGUCAGCAUACAAAACUUACAGGAGGCAAAAGCUUUACAUGAGAUACAAAAUCUUACCCUAAUCAGUGUGGAGUUGCAUGCUCGAACUAGACGAGACUUAGAACCGGAUCCUGAAUUUGACCCAAUCUGUGCUCUGUUCUACUGCAUCUCAUCUGACACUCCACUGCCAGAUACAGAAAAAACAGAACUCACAGGUGUAAUAGUGAUUGAUAAAGACAAGACAGUGUUCAGUCAAGAUAUCAGAUAUCAGACUCCAUUACUUAUUAGAUCUGGAAUUACAGGACUCGAAGUCACCUAUGCUGCUGAUGAGAAGGCACUUUUUCAUGAAAUUGCAAAUAUAAUAAAGAGGUAUGAUCCUGAUAUUCUGCUAGGAUAUGAGAUUCAGAUGCAUUCCUGGGGUUACCUCUUACAAAGGGCUGCCGCUUUAAGUAUUGACUUAUGUCGGAUGAUCUCUCGGGUGCCAGAUGACAAAAUUGAGAACAGAUUUGCAGCUGAAAGAGAUGAGUAUGGAUCAUAUACAAUGAGUGAGAUAAAUAUUGUUGGCCGAAUUACACUAAAUCUUUGGAGAAUCAUGAGAAAUGAGGUGGCUCUAACUAACUACACCUUUGAAAAUGUGAGCUUUCAUGUUCUUCAUCAGCGUUUUCCCCUCUUUACCUUUCGAGUCUUGUCAGAUUGGUUUGAUAACAAGACAGAUCUAUACAGAUGGAAAAUGGUUGAUCAUUAUGUUAGCCGUGUCCGUGGAAAUCUCCAAAUGUUAGAACAGCUGGACCUGAUUGGGAAAACCAGUGAGAUGGCUAGACUUUUUGGCAUUCAGUUUUUACAUGUACUGACAAGGGGUUCACAGUACCGUGUGGAAUCAAUGAUGUUGCGUAUUGCUAAACCAAUGAACUAUAUUCCUGUGACACCUAGUGUUCAGCAAAGAUCCCAGAUGAGAGCCCCACAGUGUGUUCCUCUAAUUAUGGAGCCUGAAUCCCGCUUCUAUAGCAACUCUGUUCUCGUUUUGGAUUUCCAAUCACUUUAUCCUUCUAUUGUGAUUGCAUAUAACUACUGCUUUUCCACCUGCCUUGGCCAUGUGGAGAACUUGGGAAAGUAUGAUGAGUUCAAAUUUGGCUGUACCUCUCUGAGAGUACCUCCAGAUUUACUUUACCAAGUUAGGCAUGAUAUCACAGUGUCCCCCAAUGGAGUAGCUUUUGUCAAGAUUGCUAAUAAAUGUAGGCCGGAGGGGAUGGCUUAGUGGUCUAAGCAUCAGAUUUGAAAUACCUAGAGUCCCUGGAACUGCAGGUUUGAAUGUCAGCAGAGUCAACCCAGCUCAUCAUUCUUCCAAGCCUUCAGUAAGAAAAGGUGUACUACCAAGAAUGCUUGAAGAAAUUUUGAAGACUAGAUUUAUGGUGAAGCAGUCAAUGAAGGCUUACAAGCAAGACAGAGCCCUGUCACGAAUGCUUGAUGCACGUCAGUUGGGACUUAAGCUGAUAGCAAAUGUCACAUUUGGCUAUACAUCUGCUAAUUUUUCUGGGAGAAUGCCAUGCAUUGAGGUUGGCGAUAGUAUUGUUCACAAAGCCAGAGAGACCUUGGAACGAGCUAUUAAACUGGUGAAUGAUACCAAGAAAUGGGGGGCUAGGGUUGUAUAUGGCGAUACUGACAGUAUGUUUGUGCUACUGAAAGGAGCCACUAAGGAGCAGUCUUUUAAGAUUGGUCAGGAAAUUGCCGAAGCUGUAACUGCUACCAAUCCUAAACCAGUGAAAUUGAAGUUUGAAAAGGUAUAUUUGCCCUGUGUUUUACAAACAAAAAAGAGGUAUGUGGGUUACAUGUAUGAAACACUGGAUCAGAAGGACCCAGUAUUUGAUGCAAAAGGAAUAGAAACAGUCAGAAGAGAUUCCUGCCCUGCUGUUUCUAAGAUACUUGAGCGUUCUCUAAAGCUGCUAUUUGAAACGAGAGAUAUAAGUCUAAUUAAACAGUAUGUUCAGCGACAAUGUAUGAAGCUUCUGGAAGGAAAGGCCAGCAUACAAGACUUUAUCUUUGCCAAGGAAUACAGAGGAAGUUUUUCUUAUAAACCAGGAGCUUGUGUGCCAGCCCUUGAACUUACAAGGAAAAUGCUGACUUAUGACCGGCGCUCUGAGCCUCAGGUUGGGGAGCGAGUGCCAUAUGUCAUCAUUUAUGGGACCCCCGGAGUACCACUUAUCCAGCUUGUAAGGCGCCCAGUGGAAGUCCUGCAGGACCCAACUCUGAGACUGAAUGCUACUUACUAUAUUACCAAGCAAAUCCUUCCACCCUUGGCAAGAAUCUUCUCACUUAUUGGUAUUGAUGUCUUCAGCUGGUAUCAUGAAUUACCAAGGGGAUUUAUUGCGGCACUAUUCACAAUAGCAAAGACUUGGAACCAACCCAAAUGUCCAUCAAUGAUAGACUGGAUUAAGAAAAUGUGGCACAUAUACACCAUGGAAUACUAUGCAGCCAUAAAAAAGGAUGAGUUCAUGUCCUUUGCAGGGACAUGGAUGAAGCUGGAAACCAUCAUUCUCAGCAAACUAUCACAAGGACAGAAAACCAAACACCGCCUGUUCUCACUCAUAGAUCCAUAAAGCUACCAGCUCCUCGCGAAGUGAACCUGAAGGGCGGAAAGGCACUAUUUCACAAUAUUUUACUACCUUACACUGUCCUGUGUGUGAUGACCUAACUCAGCAUGGCAUCUGUAGUAAAUGUCGGAGCCAACCUCAGCAUGUUGCAGUCAUCCUCAACCAAGAAAUCCGGGAGUUGGAACGUAAACAGGAGCAACUUGUAAAGAUAUGCAAGAACUGUACAGGUUGCUUUGAUCGACACAUCCCAUGUGUUUCUCUGAACUGCCCAGUACUUUUCAAACUCUCCCGAGUAAAUAGAGAAUUGUCCAAGGCACCAUAUCUCCGGCAGUUAUUAGACCAGUUUUAAAUUGUCAAUAUCACAGUAUUACAGGUGCUAUUUUUUUCAGUGCUUACCACUAAACUGUUGUGCAUGGUGCUUUUUAACUUUCAUCGAGUCAAGGAUGUUCACUGUCUGUUAUCUGAAGACUAUGAAGACUUCUAUGCUAACCGAAUUAAAAUGUACUUGUUGAUCUCUGAAUAGCUCACUUCUUACAAUGUACAAAUUUCUCAUUCUGCCACCUUUUAAACAUUGUUUUAUAAUGCAGGUGUUGGAUUUGCUCCAGUAUGUGUACCAUCUUGUAAAUUCAUUUGAGUAGAUCAUGUUUACUUCCCAGUGGAAGGAGCACUGAAAACCUCUUAAAGAAAAAGCAUUUGUGUGUUUUCCUUGAACUGUCUGUAUCAAGACGUGUUACUUCGAGAUAUCCAUUCACUUUAUAAUUUUGACUGCAAAAUAUUUUGUAAAUACACUUUUUUACUUUUCAAACAACUGAGUAAAAUAAUGUGCAAUGACUUUUAUACAAAUGAUUUUCAAGUUGUUUGGUAUAUUUCCUCUAGGUUUUGCUUGACUCAAAGUAGAUCGUUAUUUUGAUCAAACUGUGCAAACAGUAGUACCACGUGUAGCAUUUUGAAACAUUAUUUUUUAAAAAAUGCUGUCUUGCUUUAGCUAUUAAUGGGGCAUUGUGAGGAACUGUGCAAAGACAUUUUUGUUACAAACCUGUGGGCCUGUUGCAAUACUUUAAAAAUAAAAAAUUUUAUUCCAUUUGCUUGUUUUGUAUAGACAUUUCUAUUGCUUCUAAAUAUACUUAAAAUAUUUUCUUUCCUUAUGUACUGUACAGUUAAUCUUAUUUGCCAUCAUCUUGAACACAAAAUGUGUAUUUAGAAUAUUUGUAUAACUGUGUAAAAUAAAAAAGGAAUUAUGUGGUCAGUGCAUUGUUUUUUAAACUGGAAAUCAUUUUGUUUUAAAAGUUAAUAAUGGAAACCAUAUUAAAAUUGAAUAAAAUAUAAAAUAUAGCAGUGUGACUUCA